RNAcentral lists this ribosomal RNA (482 nucleotides) under uncultured bacterium. RNAcentral's name for it is "partial 16S ribosomal RNA". It matches the Rfam family "Bacterial small subunit ribosomal RNA", at positions 30 to 507 of the family's 1533-position model. The record is from RNAcentral.
AUUGAACGCUGGCGGCAUGCUUUACACAUGCAAGUCGAACGGUAACAGGCCGCAAGGUGCUGACGAGUGGCGAACGGGUGAGUAAUGCAUCGGAACGUGCCCAGUCGUGGGGGAUAACUACUCGAAAGAGUAGCUAAUACCCCAUACGAUCUAUGGAUGACAGCGGGGGACCGUAAGGCCUCGCGCGAUUGGAGGGGCCGAUGUCAGAUUAGGUAGUUGGGGGGGUAAAGGCUCACCAAGCCAACGAUCUGUAGCUGGUCUGAGAGGACGACCAGCCACACUGGAACUGAGACACGGCCCAGACUCCUACGGGAGGCAGCAGUGGGGAAUUUUGGACAAUGGGCGCAAGCCUGAUCCAGCAAUGCCGCGUGCAGGAAGAAGGCCUUCGGGUUGUAAACUGCUUUUGUACGGAACGAAACGGCUCUGGUUAAUACCCGGGGCUAAUGACGGUACCGGAAGAAUAAGCACCGGCUAACUACGUG